UUUAUUUAUUUUUUAAUUUCUAAAAAAUGUAAAUAUUCUUAUUUAUUUUCUAGUCAUAUGAGAAACUUAAUAAUUUUUUUAAAAAAAAUAGAUUUCAGAAAACACAAAACAAAAAAUUAUAAAUAGUUUUCAAUUUUUAAAAAUUAAAAAACAAAAAACAUGCGCUCAAUAUGCCAAAAGUGGUUGACAGUGGUUGAAACAAAAAACAAAACUCAAAAUGGUAUUCCUGGACUCCUCACCCAUUGGGUUUCAGAUCAUAAAAAGAAAGCUUAGCUCCAUUCUUUCAUUAAGCCUAUCAAAUCUAGCCCAAACUAUAGAUAAAAGUGCAGAAAUCAAUUCUUCUUGCACAUAGGUUGGUAUUUCAGGCUUAUUCUCUCUAGGAAAUUUAGAAAUGAAUGAUCUUUACUUUUUCAGAAACCUUAUCAAUAGCACUAUAACUUUCAUAAAAACACCUAAGGUUGAUUAUUUCAUUAAGCUAGAUGAAAUUUGGUCUGAAGACAAAACUCAAAAUGAGCAGAGUUGAUAGAACUAGAUUCUGUUUUUAAGUGAUAACUCACAAUCUGCUCAUUAGAUUUAAGCCUAUGAUAACAAUCUAGAAAGAGGACAGAAUUUUCUACAACUCUCAUGAAGAUCAUUAGACCUAAUUCAGUAGAUUUACUAUGAUAAAAUGGGUGGAAAGGCAGACUAUGUAACAAACUCAGGUGAAGCAAGAUAGACUAAACUAAAAUGUCAAUAACUUAUCCGUCCAAAAUCGGAAUUUGAUUCCUCAAAAUGCUACAAACUCAUAAGACACAGACUUAACUAACUAGAAAAAACCAAAUUCAAAUUCACCAAUUUGUUGAUUUGAAACUCUAAUAGAGAGUAGGUACCACUAGGUGACUUUUUCUCUAUGUGAAAGGUUUGGCAUGUUUUUAAAGUAUACCUUCUCCAAUUGGUUUCCAUACUCAAAUUUAAAAUUGAGAAUAGAUUCUUAUGAGUAUAAUUCAAUGGGAAAUUGACCUAAAUCAUCUAAUCAAAUUUCCUUAACCCAAAGGCACCCCAGUCACACCACCAACACACAUACUCAUGAACAUGUUACAUGUAAUCAUUCCCCAUCUACUAAUAAUGAAAUAUUCAAAUUAGGAAUGCCACAAAAACACAUGCUAUAAUUUUCAGUAGUUAUAGAUAAAUAGAUGCCUCAAAUCAGGAACUUUCGUGUAUUAUAAUAAAGCUUUUCAUUAUUUCUUUGUCUACAAAUGCUUCAUUAAGAUAGACAAGCUUAUCCUAGGCUCCUAGCUAGUGUGUGCAAUGGAACCCAUAGACUUUAAUGUUUUGAUUCCAGUAGAAAAUGUUAGCAAAGUUAAAAGGGUAUCAAGUCAAAUUUCCACAUUAAAAUUUCAAAACAAUAACACAAAAAUGCAUAAUAUAUAUACAAAGUGAAAUUUCUUUGACUAGCAUUACAUUGCACAAGAUGCAUAAUCUAUUAGAAUUACCUUCAAGAGGAAAGGAGAGUGAGGCAGCUGAUUCUGUGAAAAUAUCAACAAAUUUUUAUAAACCUAAAUCAUAGAAAAAGAAGAAAAAAAAUAAAAAUAAUUGCAAAAGAAGACUGGCUAAAAAAAUAGCAUUUUUUUGUGGUAAAUAAUACAAAAAUAAAAUUAAAAAGGAAAGAAGAAAAAAAUUACUGAAGAAGAGGAGAUCCAGUCUGCGAAUAGAAAGGAAACAAAAAUAAAAAAGGGGAGAGGCGAGAGAUUAGGAUAAAAAUUUGAGAGUUUGCAGUGAAAAAGAGGAGAGGUGAGAGAUUGGGAUAGAAAUU
This 1792-nucleotide unclassified non-coding RNA is filed under the name Hevea brasiliensis (rubber tree). The record is from RNAcentral. Lineage: Eukaryota; Viridiplantae; Streptophyta; Magnoliopsida; Malpighiales; Euphorbiaceae.